CCGAGUUUACAACUCCCAAACCCCUGUGAACAUACCUGAACGUUGCCUCGGCGGUGCUGCCCCGGCGCCCCAGCGGCCCGGACCCAGGCGCCCGCCGGAGGACCCCAAACCAUCUCUGUCUUAUAGUGGCAUUGUCUGAGUGGCGUAAAGCAAAUCAAUCA
RNAcentral lists this unclassified non-coding RNA (161 nucleotides) under uncultured Hypocreales. Its description in RNAcentral is "sequence contains ITS1". Lineage: Eukaryota; Fungi; Ascomycota; Sordariomycetes; Hypocreales. The record is from RNAcentral.